Long non-coding RNA from Mesocricetus auratus (golden hamster), 1103 nucleotides. RefSeq lists it as uncharacterized. The record is from RefSeq and is a predicted model, not a curated record. Lineage: Eukaryota; Metazoa; Chordata; Mammalia; Rodentia; Cricetidae. The transcript is spliced from 3 exons.
GGCGAUGGAUAAGGCAGAGAACAGAGCAUGUUCUUGUUGCAAGAAGCAGGGCUCUUAUGAUGGCCUGAAGGACCUGGGAAGAACACUAAUAUGGAUGGGGAAACACCGAGACUCUUGACUCUGCUGUGGCUUAUCUGUAUUUCUACCAGUUUUUAAUUCCUGUUUCAUUUGAAGCGUUGGGAAAUGUUGUUCUGAGGAGGAGUCCAUAGGCUUCACCCUGAACGUAGUCACAGCACAAACGAGUGACGAACACAGGCUGAAAUGGAAGGGGGAGACCGACAGGAGGAGGAAGCAGCAUCCACCCAGGAUGUUGUAACAGUGCAGGAUGAGAGGACAUCUGUAUUGCAAAUGAGGGUGAUUCAGUAGAGAUGGAGGCGACUGGUAACGUAAGAACCGGGAGAACUGCUGAAGCUGCAGGUGCUAAGCGGGUGCAGCGCCCCCAGACAACCAAAAUUGCACAAGUAAAGAUGACACAAGAGAGCGACAUCAUUGCCCUGUACACUAGAGGUGAGCUUGACCAGUCUGGUUCGUUCUCUCUGUCUGGUGCUCGUCAGUCAAGCAUGAAGAAGAGGAAAAUUGUCGGCAUACAUUGAAAGGUCACAGGACAGAAAGGAGGAAGUAGGGAUGUAAAGUACUGACUGAGCUGGUGGGACCCUCCUCAAGCUAAUGUCAACAGAGCUGUGUGUGGCGAGCAUCGCAGAGAAACCCAAUCGAGUCCGAUGUUUAGCAUAGCAGUGAGCCUGGUUCUAGGCUGAUGGAUUUGGGAGUAUGGCCAGCUGCCAGUACGCAGAGAAAUACAAGCAAACAAUACUCAUUCUAUAGCACUGUGAUGUCUGAUCUCAGUAGUUAACUCGACACACUGGAAAAGGGAGCCUCAACUGAGGACUGGUCUUCAACAUAUGGGCCUGUGAGCAUAUCUGUAGGGGCAUUUUCUUGAUGGCUAUUUGAGAAAGGCAGAACACUGUGAGAGGUGCCAUCCCUAGACAAACAUGCCAUAACUGUAUAGGAAAGCUAGCUGGGCCAGCUAGGGACAGCAAGUCAGUAAGCAACAUUCCUCCAUGGCUUCUGCUUCGGUUCCUGCCUCUGGGCUCUUGCCUUGUGUU